GUAUUACUCCCUCCGUCCGUAAAUAUUUGUCAUCAAAAUGGAUAAAAAAGGAUGUGUCUAGAACUAAAAUAGUCUAGAUACAUCCCCUUUUAUCCAUUUUGGUGACAAAUAUUUCCGGACGGAGGGAGUACUUU
This is a non-coding RNA of Triticum aestivum (bread wheat), 134 nucleotides long. The record is from Rfam. Lineage: Eukaryota; Viridiplantae; Streptophyta; Magnoliopsida; Poales; Poaceae.